UAGGUCGUGGUUGGCACUACGUCUGUUUCCUGUGAGAAAAAGUGUCAUGGCAGCUUCUGGUUUUGUCGUUGAACCAGCGCGAAGUUCAAGCUACGUGUUUAUUUGCGGCAAGCACUCUUCCUCGCGGUAAAUUUACUCUUCAGUGACGACAGUGAUGAACACAAAUGUUCACAGGUUCAUAGUGCACCUCAUGUCAAGGACGGGUAGGUGUACUUGCUGCCAAGAACCACAAAGGAGGAUAAGUGACAGUGGUGGAAAUGAAUCUGCACUCCAGUCAAGUGCACAAUGAGCUAAGUCAGGAACAUUAUUGAAACGAACCAUAAGAUAAGCAUUUUAAAAACUGCUAAUAAAGCAUUGUCUUGGCUUCAUCAACCAA
Molecule: long non-coding RNA, 376 nt
Organism: Rhipicephalus microplus (southern cattle tick)
Lineage: Eukaryota; Metazoa; Arthropoda; Arachnida; Ixodida; Ixodidae
Source: RefSeq, a predicted model, not a curated record